GGUCGCUUAGCUCAGUUGGUUAGAGCGUGGUGCUAAUAGACUAAGCCAUUGAUACGCCAAGGUCGCGAGUUCGACCCUCGUAGUGACCA
This 89-nucleotide transfer RNA is filed under the name Didymella exigua CBS 183.55. It matches the Rfam family "tRNA". Rfam says of the family: Transfer RNA (tRNA) molecules are approximately 80 nucleotides in length. Their secondary structure includes four short double-helical elements and three loops (D, anti-codon, and T loops). Lineage: Eukaryota; Fungi; Ascomycota; Dothideomycetes; Pleosporales; Didymellaceae. The record is from Rfam by way of RNAcentral.